Molecule: ribosomal RNA, 478 nt
Filed under: uncultured bacterium
Lineage: Bacteria
Description: partial 16S ribosomal RNA
Rfam family: Bacterial small subunit ribosomal RNA
Source: RNAcentral
GACGAACGCUGGCGGCGUGCUUAACACAUGCAAGUCGAACGGGAUUUCGUAAACAGAAGCCUCGGUGGAAGAUUACUAAUGAGGGUGGCGAACGGGUGAGUAACGCGUGAGCAACCUGCCUAUGACAGUGGGAUAGCCUCGGGAAACCGGGAUUAAUACCGCAUAAAAUCGUAGAAACACAUGUUUUAACGGUCAAAGAUUUAUCGGUCAUAGAUGGGCUCGCGUCUGAUUAGCUAGUUGGUGAGAUAACAGCCCACCAAGGCGACGAUCAGUAGCCGGUCUGAGAGGAUGAACGGCCACAUUGGAACUGAGACACGGUCCAAACUCCUACGGGAGGCAGCAGUGGGGAAUAUUGCACAAUGGGGGAAACCCUGAUGCAGCGACGCCGCGUGAACGAAGAAGGUAUUCGUAUCGUAAAGUUCUGUCCUAUGGGAAGAUAAUGACAGUACCAGAGAAGAAAGCUCCGGCUAAAUACGUG